UACGAGGGGGGCGAGCGUUGUUCGGAAUUAUUGGGCGUAAAGGGUGCGUAGGCGGUCUGGUAAGUCUUGUGUGAAAUCUUCGGGCUCAACUCGAAGUCUGCACGAGAAACUGCCGGGCUUGAGUAUGGGAGAGGUGAGUGGAAUUUCCGGUGUAGCGGUGAAAUGCGUAGAUAUCGGAAGGAACACCUGUGGCGAAAGCGGCUCACUGGACCAUAACUGACGCUGAUGCACGAAAGCUAGGGGAGCAAACAGGAUUAGAUACCCUCGUAGUCC
This 273-nucleotide ribosomal RNA is filed under the name uncultured Acidobacterium sp. RNAcentral describes it as "partial 16S ribosomal RNA". It matches the Rfam family "Bacterial small subunit ribosomal RNA", at positions 524 to 796 of the family's 1533-position model. Lineage: Bacteria; Pseudomonadati; Acidobacteriota; Terriglobia; Terriglobales; Acidobacteriaceae. The record is from RNAcentral.